RNAcentral lists this ribosomal RNA (1487 nucleotides) under metagenome. RNAcentral describes it as "bacterial LSU rRNA". It matches the Rfam family "Bacterial large subunit ribosomal RNA", at positions 1089 to 2555 of the family's 2925-position model. The record is from RNAcentral.
ACAACCAGGAGGUUGGCUUAGAAGCAGCCAUCCUUUAAAGAAAGCGUAACAGCUCACUGGUCUAGUGAUUCUGCGCGGAAAAUAUAACGGGGCUAAGAUGUACACCGAAGCUUUAGAUUCAAUUUUUAAUUGAGUGGUAGGAGAGCGUUCUAUUCAGCGUUGAAGGUAUACCGGUAAGGAGUGCUGGAGCGGAUAGAAGUGAGCAUGCAGGCAUGAGUAGCGAUAAUUAAGGUGAGAAUCCUUAACGCCGAAAACCCAAGGUUUCCUACGCGAUGCUCGUCAUCGUAGGGUUAGUCGGGUCCUAAGUCGAGUCCGAAAGGGGUAGACGAUGGCAAAUUGGUUAAUAUUCCAAUACCAACAUAUAAGCGCGAUGUGGGGACGCAUAGAGUUAGUCGAGCUCACUGAUGGAAUAGUGGGUCGAAGGACGUAGGUUGAUACUUAGGCAAAUCCGGGUAUCAUAAGACCGAGAUCUUACAGGCUCUUGACACUCUUCGGAGGAGAUGGAGAAUCGAUGAUACUGUCGUGCCAAGAAAAGCCACUAAGUAUAUUGUAUGUUGCCCGUACCGUAAACCGACACAGGUGGGUGGGAUGAGUAUUCUAAGGCGCGUGGAAGAACCCUCUUUAAGGAACUCUGCAAAAUAGCACCGUAUCUUCGGUAUAAGGUGUGCCUACUUUGGUAUAUGGACUUGCUCCAAAAAGCUAGAGAGGUUGCAACAAAGAGUCCCUCCCGACUGUUUACCAAAAACACAGCACUUUGCUAACACGUAAGUGGAUGUAUAAGGUGUGACGCCUGCCCGGUGCUGGAAGGUUAACUGAUGAUGUCAGCGCAAGCGAAGCAUUUGAUUGAAGCCCCAGUAAACGGCGGCCGUAACUAUAACGGUCCUAAGGUAGCGAAAUUCCUUGUCGGUUAAAUACCGACCUGCAUGAAUGGCGUAACGAGAUGGGAGCUGUCUCAACCAGGGAUCCAGUGAAAUUGUAGUGGAGGUGAAAAUUCCUCCUACCCGCGGAAAGACGGAAAGACCCCGUGCACCUUUACUACAGCUUGACACUGUAGCUUGGAUAUUCAUGUGCAGGAUAGGUGGGAGGCUAUGAUGACUAGACGCAAGUAGAGUCGGAGCCAUCCUUGAGAUACCACCCUUGAAUAUUUGAGUUACUAACUGCGUACAAUUAUCUUGUAUCAGGACAAUGUCUGGUGGGUAGUUUGACUGGGGCGGUCGCCUCCUAAAAAGUAACGGAGGCUUACAAAGGUUAGUUCAAAGCGGUUGGAAAUCGCUUGUUGAGUAUAAUGGCAUAAACUAGCUUGACUGUGAGACCUACAAGUCGAACAGAGACGAAAGUCGGUCAUAGUGAUCCGGUGGUUCUGCGUGGAAGGGCCAUCGCUCAAAGGAUAAAAGGUACGCCGGGGAUAACAGGCUGAUCUCCCCCAAGAGCUCACAUCGACGGGGAGGUUUGGCACCUCGAUGUCGGCUCAUCGCAUCCUGGGGCUG